Molecule: long non-coding RNA, 1276 nt
Organism: Panthera uncia (snow leopard)
Lineage: Eukaryota; Metazoa; Chordata; Mammalia; Carnivora; Felidae
Exons: 3
Source: RefSeq, a predicted model, not a curated record
GGGCCAUUUGAACAACGUUUUCGAUUGGCUGGGAAAGGACAGUACUGGAUCAAAAGAUAGCCUUCCGCCUAUUGGCCCGGAGUUGCUAGGGCUGAGAGCAAAAGUGUAGCCAUUGGCUGGAGGCCAUAGCAGGAAUCUCUACAUUCUCUUUUCCUAGAAGUGCGUGGGGGCUCACGCUUAGAAAUGGUGCAGUGGCGUACGCGCAGUGGCUAGUCUUCUCUCGUUGUUAUCAGAGAAAGAUGAGACUAUGGAAGAAGGGUGAGAGAGAGAUGCAAUGUUGAUGAUUUUGGAGAUAGAGGAAGAAGGCCACAAGUCAAGAAAUGUGGGCAGCCUCUAGAAGAUGAAAAAGGCAAGGAAACAAUCUCCCUUAGAGCCUCUAGAAAGGGAUAUGGCUGUAUUGAUUGAUGCCUGGAUUUCAGACCUCAACAGGCACUGCACGUGCUUCUGCAAGGAGUCCAGGGGUGCCCGGGAGGAUCCUUCUUGGUACGUAUGCAGCCUGGGCUUCUAGCCUGCUGAGAAGAGAGCAGUGUUCCCUGCUACCUCCAGAUGUCUAUACAGCAGCACUGUUUUGCACAUCUCACACCAUCAGAGACUCCAGAGAUUUCACCCUUUUCUAAAUUAAUAGGUAUCUUGGGGCACCUGGGUGGCUCAGUCAGUUAAGUGUCCGACUUUGUCCCAGGUCAUGAUCUUGCUGUUCAUGGCUUCCAGCCCCACGUUGGGCUCUGUGCUGACAGUUCUCCCGGAGCCCACUUAGGAUACUGUGUGUCUCUUUUUACCCCUCCCCCAACUCAUGUACAUGCGCUCGUGCUCUCUCUCUUUCUCUCUCUCUCUCAAAAAUAAAAAAACAUUGAAAAAAAUUUUAAUUAAUAGCCAUCUUUCCCCAGAGCUUUAGCUCAAGUUUCCAGUUGCUGGGACACCAUUAGAUAGAGAAUAAUAUGAUUAAUACACUGUACCAUACUCAAAAUUACUCUGAGAGUCAAAUCUUAUAUUUCAAUAAGCUUCUCUCUCCCUCCCCCCUCACCUCCCUUUCCCUCUCCCUCCCCUGUCUCUUUCCCUUCUCCCCCACCCCCUCUCCCCUACUCCUCUACAGGAUGCUCCUCUGCUGUUGAGGCUUAUAUAGCCUCUAAUAACCAACUCCACCCUGGAAUUUGUGAAACUGAUGAAAUUUAAACAUCAGGUUUUUAUUAUGCCUGUACAGACACUAUGGAUUGUAAGCCAUUCCCCAUGGUUUAUUAAAAUUUUUCUUAUUUUAAACAUUUUAUCUCAAUAAUCACAC